This 524-nucleotide ribosomal RNA is filed under the name uncultured bacterium. Its description in RNAcentral is "bacterial SSU rRNA". It matches the Rfam family "Bacterial small subunit ribosomal RNA", at positions 355 to 896 of the family's 1533-position model. The record is from RNAcentral.
UGGGGAAUAUUGGACAAUGGACCAAGAGUCUGAUCCAGCAAUUCUGUGUGCACGAUGACGUUUUUCGGAAUGUAAAGUGCUUUCAGUUGGGAAGAAAAAAAUGACGGUACCAACAGAAGAAGUGACGGCUAAAUACGUGCCAGCAGCCGCGGUAAUACGUAUGUCACGAGCGUUAUCCGGAUUUAUUGGGCGUAAAGCGCGUCUAGGUGGUUAUGUAAGUCUGAUGUGAAAAUGCAGGGCUCAACUCUGUAUUGCGUUGGAAACUGUGUAACUAGAGUACUGGAGAGGUAAGCGGAACUACAAGUGUAGAGGUGAAAUUCGUAGAUAUUUGUAGGAAUGCCGAUGGGGAAGCCAGCUUACUGGACAGAUACUGACGCUGAAGCGCGAAAGCGUGGGUAGCAAACAGGAUUAGAUACCCUGGUAGUCCACGCCGUAAACGAUGAUUACUAGGUGUUGGGGGUCGGACCUCAGCGCCCAAGCAAACGCGAUAAGUAAUCCGCCUGGGGAGUACGUACGCAAGUAUG